CAGUCGCCGCGGUAAUACGAAGGGGGCUAGCGUUGCUCGGAAUGACUGGGCGUAAAGGGCGCGUAGGCGGAUGGCACAGUCAGAUGUGAAAUUCCCGGGCUUAACCUGGGGGCUGCAUUUGAUACGUGUUGUCUAGAGUGAGGAAGAGGGUUGUGGAAUUCCCAGUGUAGAGGUGAAAUUCGUAGAUAUUGGGAAGAACACCGGUGGCGAAGGCGGCAACCUGGUCCUUGACUGACGCUGAGGCGCGAAAGCGUGUGGAGCAAACAGGAUUAGAUACCCCUGUAGUCCCUGUCUCUUAUAC
Molecule: ribosomal RNA, 301 nt
Filed under: uncultured bacterium
Lineage: Bacteria
Description: partial 16S ribosomal RNA
Rfam family: Bacterial small subunit ribosomal RNA
Source: RNAcentral